AGGAAAUUUCCUUAGCAAAAGAGGAAGUACCGCCUAAACUUUACACGUGAGCAAGAUGGCCGUGAAUCAAUCGAGCGCGAAGUAUUGCUCCAAUUGUGGAUUUUCUUUAGAAAAAAACUUUUGUUUUUGCCCAAAGUGUGGAAAAGACAUAAUAAAUAAUGCCAACAUCAAAGAAGAUGAAAAGGUCAAGACUGAAAUACCCUCCGCCAGUGCAAGUAGUAGCAGCAGAUUCGCGAUGCCAAGGUUUUCCUUGCCAAGCUUUCAUUUUGAUCUCUUUUUCUUAGGGGUUCAAAUUCUAUUGAACUCGUCCAUAGGGGGGGGGGGGGGAUGUACAUUAAAUGGAAUGGCCCUAUACAUAUUAGAGUGGAAAUGAAAUUUCAAUAAAAAAUGACUGGUAUUAAUAUACGAAUUCCGAAUAUCUUACUUUGUGAGGUAGUAUUCUUUAUUAACCAGAGGCAGGUUGUAUAAAAAAGUGAUUAAAGUUAAUCAUAGUUAAGUGGAAAUGUCAUCCAAUAAGAAGCGCCUAUUUGAGAGUUAAUCACUAUUUAACUACAAAAUAGUACUUUAAAAAAGUGAUUAAGAGUUUUAUUAUAUACAACCGGCCCCAGGUGACUGCUGGCAAUUCAUCCUUUCAGUUCAUCUUCACUGUCACUAAUAUACUCAAUCUAUCCGGAUUGGCUUCGUCAAAGAUGGGUAAAAGAUAUAAAUAUAUCCUAGAAUACCCAAAUCCCAAUCGCUUCUUUAUACCGCUGUAAAGUGAAUGGCUCUGGUGGGUCAGUGCCUGGAAUAAACUCAAUAUCGUCGCCAUCUUUGAAAACCAACAUGCAGUUGCUACCAUUGUCAUUCUCAAAACGCCUGUUAAAAUCACCAUGCUUUUUAAUCGCUGCUGCAAGAAUUUUAACGGAAUUGUUUCUCCCAAGGAAAACCUUGGAAUCUGCUGCUACUACUUGCACUGGCGGAGGGUAUUUCAGUCUUGACCUUUUCAUCUUCUUUGGUGUUGG
Paramuricea clavata is the source of this 1001-nucleotide non-coding RNA. NCBI's taxonomy places the organism in Eukaryota, Metazoa, Cnidaria, Anthozoa, Malacalcyonacea, Plexauridae. The record is from the annotation of a GenBank genome assembly.